GCUUCUUUGCUGACGAGUGGCGGACGGGUGAGUAAUGUCUGGGAAACUGCCUGAUGGAGGGGGAUAACUACUGGAAACGGUAGCUAAUACCGCAUAACGUCGCAAGACCAAAGAGGGGGACCUUCGGGCCUCUUGCCAUCGGAUGUGCCCAGAUGGGAUUAGCUAGUAGGUGGGGUAACGGCUCACCUAGGCGACGAUCCCUAGCUGGUCUGAGAGGAUGACCAGCCACACUGGAACUGAGACACGGUCCAGACUCCUACGGGAGGCAGCAGUGGGGAAUAUUGCACAAUGGGCGCAAGCCUGAUGCAGCCAUGCCGCGUGUAUGAAGAAGGCCUUAGGGUUGUAAAGUACUUUCAGCGGGGAGGAAGGGAGUAAAGUUAAUACCUUUGCUCAUUGACGUUACCCGCAGAAGAAGCACCGGCUAACUCCGUGCCAGCAGCCGCGGUAAUACGGAGGGUGCAAGCGUUAAUCGGAAUUACUGGGCGUAAAGCGCACGCAGGCGGUUUGUUAAGUCAGAUGUGAAAUCCCCGGGCUCAACCUGGGAACUGCAUCUGAUACUGGCAAGCUUGAGUCUCGUAGAGGGGGGUAGAAUUCCAGGUGUAGCGGUGAAAUGCGUAGAGAUCUGGAGGAAUACCGGUGGCGA
This 643-nucleotide ribosomal RNA is filed under the name uncultured Pseudomonadota bacterium. RNAcentral describes it as "bacterial SSU rRNA". It matches the Rfam family "Bacterial small subunit ribosomal RNA", at positions 79 to 718 of the family's 1533-position model. Lineage: Bacteria; Pseudomonadati; Pseudomonadota. The record is from RNAcentral.